RNAcentral lists this transfer RNA (92 nucleotides) under Candidatus Brocadiaceae bacterium. Its description in RNAcentral is "tRNA-Ser". It matches the Rfam family "tRNA". Rfam says of the family: Transfer RNA (tRNA) molecules are approximately 80 nucleotides in length. Their secondary structure includes four short double-helical elements and three loops (D, anti-codon, and T loops). Lineage: Bacteria; Pseudomonadati; Planctomycetota; Candidatus Brocadiia; Candidatus Brocadiales; Candidatus Brocadiaceae. The record is from RNAcentral.
GGAGAGGUGCCAGAGUGGUUGAUCGGGGCGGUCUCGAAAACCGUUUUCCGUAUAAUAGCGGAACGUGGGUUCGAAUCCCACCCUCUCCACCA